AUGAACGCUGGCGGCGUGCCUAACACAUGCAAGUCGAGCGGCAGCGAGGGGUGCUUGCACCCUGUCGGCGAGCGGCGGACGGCUGAGUAACGCGUGGGAACGUGCCCCAAAGUGAGGAAUAACUGCCCGAAAGGGUAGCUAAUACCGCAUAUUAUCUUCGGAUCAAAGGAUUUAUCCGCUUUGGGAGCGGCUCGCGUCGGAUUAGGUAGUUGGUGAGGUAAUGGCUCACCAAGCCGACGAUCCGUAGCUGGUCUGAGAGGAUGACCAGCCAGACUGGAACUGAGACACGGUCCAGACUCCUACGGGAGGCAGCAGUGAGGAAUCUUCCACAAUGGGCGAAAGCCUGAUGGAGCAACGCCGCGUGCAGGACGAAGGCCUUCGGGUUGUAAACUGCUUUUAUAAGUGAGGAAUAUGACGGUAACUUAUGAAUAAGGAUCGGUUAACUACGUG
RNAcentral lists this ribosomal RNA (450 nucleotides) under uncultured bacterium. RNAcentral describes it as "partial 16S ribosomal RNA". It matches the Rfam family "Bacterial small subunit ribosomal RNA", at positions 29 to 507 of the family's 1533-position model. The record is from RNAcentral.